GAUGAACGCUGGCGGCGUGCCUAAUACAUGCAAGUCGAGCGAACAGACGAGAGUGCUUGCACUCUCUGACGUUAGCGGCGGACGGGUGAGUAACACGUGGGUAACCUACCUAUAAGACUGGGAUAACUUCGGGAAACCGGAGCUAAUACCGGAUAAUAUUUAGCUUCGCAUGAAGCAAUAGUGAAAGACGGUUCUGCUGUCACUUAUAGAUGGACCCGCGGUGUAUUAGCUAGUUGGUGAGGUAACGGCUCACCAAGGCAACGAUACAUAGCCGACCUGAGAGGGUGAUCGGCCACACUGGGGCUGAGACACGGCCCAGACUCCUACGGGAGGCAGCAGUAGGGAAUCUUCCGCAAUGGACGAAAGUCUGACGGAGCAAUGCCGCGUGAGUGAAGAAGGUUUUCGGAUCGUAAAACUCUGUUGUAAGGGAAGAACAAGUACGUUAGUAACUGAACGUACCUUGACGGUACCUUACCAGAAAGCCACGGCUAACUACGUG
RNAcentral lists this ribosomal RNA (499 nucleotides) under uncultured bacterium. Its description in RNAcentral is "partial 16S ribosomal RNA". It matches the Rfam family "Bacterial small subunit ribosomal RNA", at positions 28 to 507 of the family's 1533-position model. The record is from RNAcentral.